Molecule: long non-coding RNA, 647 nt
Filed under: Pan troglodytes (chimpanzee)
Lineage: Eukaryota; Metazoa; Chordata; Mammalia; Primates; Hominidae
Description: long non-coding RNA NONPTRT013106
Source: RNAcentral
ACCACUUCCAGCAUUAGUAGGGGUAUAACAUUAGAAAAGUCACAUAACCUUUUGAGCCUCAGUUUCCUAACUGGUGAAUAGGAGUGAUGGUUCCAUCCAGGUUGGGAAGAGUAUGGGAGAGCAUCCAGAAUGGACUACAGAAGCUGGCUGAGGACAGAUUUGUCAAGGAACAUUUGCAAAGAGGCUGACCGAUUCUCUAGAUUAAAAAUGGUAAAGCUAGUGAAAAUGAGGAAGAAAGAUUAUGGUAACCUGAAAUGAAAGCACUUCAUUAUUCAAAAUUUUCAAGGUUAAUUAUGCUAUAUAUUUUAUUUUCUGAAAAACACAGAUUAUUAGGGAGCCAUGUGCAAAAUGAAUGUGUUUAUAUAUAAAAAUAAUUUUAGAUCAGGAGGUGACAGAAACUGAUGUCCAGAUUCCAUUACCCUAAGACUUCAUGUAAUUACGUUGUCUUUUUAAAAAUCCUUAAAUGAUCAUUUUCUCCUUUGGCACAGAGUCUUUUGACUCCUCUUUUGAUGCCAACAUAGUCUCAUCAUGAAAAUAAAUUGAAAGUAGGUGGUCUGGUUAGUCUUCACAAUGCUACAUUUUAAUCAGGCAAAGCAGUGAAAAACAUGAUUGUCGAAAUGCUGGCGUGUCUUCAAACAACAGUGCAU